Molecule: ribosomal RNA, 505 nt
Filed under: uncultured bacterium
Lineage: Bacteria
Description: partial 16S ribosomal RNA
Rfam family: Bacterial small subunit ribosomal RNA
Source: RNAcentral
GACGAACGCUGGCGGCGUGCCUAAUACAUGCAAGUAGAACGCACAGUUUAUACCGUAGCUUGCUACACCAUAGACUGUGAGUUGCGAACGGGUGAGUAACGCGUAGGUAACCUGCCUGGUAGCGGGGAAUAAGUUUGGAAAACGAAACCUAAAACCCUAUAAUAUUAAUUAUGGAAGGUAAAUUGAUGGAAGGAGGUUAUUGAAUCCCAACAAGAGGAACUUGCGUGGUAUUAGUUCGUAGGUGAGCUAACGGCUCACCUAGCCAACGAUACAUAGGCGACCUGAGUGGCUGUUCGGCCACACUGGGACGGCGACACGGCCCAGACUCCUACGGGAGGCACCAGAAGGGAAGCUUCGGCAAUGGACGAAAGUCUGGCCGAGCAAGGCCGCGUGAGUGCAGACGGUUCUCUGAUCGUAAAGCUCUGUUGUAAGAGAAGAACGGGUGUGAGACUUGAAAGUUCACUAUGUGACGGUAUCUGACCAGAAAGGGACGGCUAACUACGUG